Molecule: ribosomal RNA, 502 nt
Filed under: uncultured bacterium
Lineage: Bacteria
Description: partial 16S ribosomal RNA
Rfam family: Bacterial small subunit ribosomal RNA
Source: RNAcentral
GACGAACGCUGGCGGCGUGCUUAACACAUGCAAGUCGAACGGUGAAGGGGCCUGCUUUUGUGGGCCCUGGAUGAGUGGCGAACGGGUGAGUAACACGUGAGUAACCUGCCCCCUUCUUCUGGAUAACCGCAUGAAAGUGUGGCUAAUACGGGAUAUUCUGGGUCUGUCGCAUGAUGGGUCUGGGAAAGAUUGCGCCUUUGGGUGUUUUUGGUGGGGGAUGGGCUCGCGGCCUAUCAGCUUGUUGGUGGGGUGAUGGCCUACCAAGGCGGUGACGGGUAGCCGGGCUGAGGGGGUGGACGGUCACACUGGGACUGAGACACGGCCCAGACUCCUACGGGAGGCAGCAGUGGGGAAUAUUGCACAAUGGGCGCAAGCCUGAUGCAGCGACGCCGCGUGAGGGAUGGAGGCCUUCGGGUUGUAAACCUCUUUCGCCAGUGAAGCAGGCCUGCUCCUUGUGGGUGGGUUGACGGUAGCUGGAUAAGAAGCGCCGGCUAACUACGUG